RNAcentral lists this long non-coding RNA (716 nucleotides) under Bos indicus x Bos taurus (hybrid cattle). RNAcentral describes it as "lncRNA (ENSBIXG00005011079.1)". Lineage: Eukaryota; Metazoa; Chordata; Mammalia; Artiodactyla; Bovidae. The record is from RNAcentral.
CCGCAGGCCCCGCUCGGUGCCGGACGACGCCAAGGGCUGCCAGCUUGGGUAGAGAGGAGCCCUGCCCUCAGCCUCGCCCGCCGCCGGGCCUGCAGGGGCCGCGGGAGCUCGGCGCCCGCCCGUCCGCGAGCCUCUCCGUCGGCGCGCGGGAGCGGCGGCGGCAGCCUCGCCGGCUCCCUCCCGCCCGCGGGUGGAGACUUCCGGACGCCGCUGAGGAGAUUCCAGCCGGCGUUCGCGGGGGCGCAGAGCAGUAGCUAUAGAGUCUCCUGCGUUGAACGGGGACCCCAGGAACAGUUGUUCUCCACACUACAUCCACCACUAGCAGCCCAGCGAGUACCUGAAGGCCUUGGUGGCUGCGGGGGUGAUUAGCCAGGACUCUGCCAGCAUUUCAGCCUCAGAGUUACCUGUCACCACUCACAGUCCCUGCAGAGGCCAGAGAUUUCUCCUGGAAGGAAAGACUCAAGAGAAAUCACAGGGAUAAAGGCAGAGUGCAGCCAAGCCUUGCCUGUGCUGAUGCCCAAGAGGGUGAAGAGGGUGAAUGAUUUCUGGUGAGAAUUUUAAAGUCCCCCAAGUAAUAGAUCAUCUGCGAGCAUACUGUGUCUUCCUGCUCAUUCUAAAUGCAUGUCAUUCCAGAACUUUAAUGGGGGAAUUUCUUUAUCUCCUAAAUAUGCCAAGUGGGGCUUAUGUUUAAAAAACAGUAUCGCGGUACCUCCGAG